CGCAUCUGUGCAUGCAGCAUAUCAAUAAGCGGAGGAAAAGAAACUAACAAGGAUUCCCCUAGUAACGGCGAGUGAAGCGGGAAGAGCUCAAAUUUGAAAUCUUAAAGGGUUUCCCUUUACGAAUUGUAGUUUAAAGAAGUGUUUUCUGUUGAGGUUUUGGUAAAAGUUCUUUGGAAUAGGACAUCAUAGAGGGUGAGAAUCCCGUAUUUGACCUUUACUUUCAACUUUGUGAUACACUUUCAAAGAGUCGGAUUGUUUGGGAAUGCAGUCCAAAAUGGGUGGUAAAUUUCAUCUAAAGCUAAAUAUUGGCGAGAGACCGAUAGCGAACAAGUACCGUGAGGGAAAGAUGAAAAGAACUUUGAAAAGAGAGUUAAACAGUACGUGAAAUUGUCAAAAGGGAAGCGUUUGACACCAGUGUUGUUUUUCUGAAAAUCAAUUAAAGAACUGUUUAUGCUAAGUUGUUUAGACUUUAUCAGCUAACUGUUUAGUUUUGAGCUUUUCUUUAAUGCACUUUUCAGUUAACAAGUCAACAUCAAUUUCUUUUGCUGUAAAAAAGCUUGAGGAAGGUGGCUUGAGAUUCGUCUUAAGUGUUUAUAGCCUCUUGCCUAUGCAGUCGGAGAGAUUGAGGUCUGCAGCGUAGAUCCUUCGGGGCUAAAUGCAUUUGUGCUAAGUUAUAGCAUUUUAUAGACAACUUGUUGACUAUGAUUUGUCUUGUAGCUUACUCGCUUAUGUUAUUUUACCUACGCUUAGGAUGUUGAUCUCUCACUAGUCGAGC
RNAcentral lists this ribosomal RNA (775 nucleotides) under uncultured Neocallimastigales. Its description in RNAcentral is "partial large subunit ribosomal RNA". It matches the Rfam family "Eukaryotic large subunit ribosomal RNA", at positions 26 to 645 of the family's 3401-position model. Lineage: Eukaryota; Fungi; Neocallimastigomycota; Neocallimastigomycetes; Neocallimastigales. The record is from RNAcentral.